GUCUGUUUGAGGUAGUAGGUUGUAUAGUAAGUAUUACACCUAUUGGGAGUGCUGUACAGCCUGCUAACUUUCCCAGAC
Molecule: microRNA precursor, 78 nt
Filed under: Tribolium castaneum (red flour beetle)
Lineage: Eukaryota; Metazoa; Arthropoda; Insecta; Coleoptera; Tenebrionidae
Description: let-7 stem-loop (tca-let-7)
Gene: tca-let-7
Rfam family: let-7 microRNA precursor family
About the family: This family represents the microRNAs (miRNA) let-7 and mir-98. let-7 was identified from a study of developmental timing in C. elegans, and was later shown to be part of a much larger class of non-coding RNAs termed miRNAs. The extents of the hairpin precursors are not generally known and are estimated based on hairpin prediction.
Source: miRBase by way of RNAcentral